UGCAAGUCGGAUGUGCCGCAAGGUGCAUGGCAGACGGGUGAGUGACGCGUGGGGAAUCUACCUUUUAGUGGGGAAUAACGCUCCGAAAGGAGUGGUAAUACCGCAUGAGACCGCGACCUGGGAUGGUUGUGGUGAAACCUGGGGACCGGUAACGGCCUGGGGCUAAGAGAGGAUCCUGCGUCUGAUUAGCUAGUUGGCGGGGUAAUGGCCCACCAAGGCGACGAUCAGUAGCCGGCCUGAGAGGGUGAUCGGCCACACUGGAACUGAGACACGGUCCAGACUCCUACGGGAGGCAGCAGUGGGGAAUUUUGCGCAAUGGGCGAAAGCCUGACGCAGCAACGCCGCGUGGGUGAUGAAGGUCUUCGGACUGUAAAACCCUGUCGUCAGGGACGAAGGUGGCAGUGUUAAUAGCGCUGUUACUUGACGGUACCUGGAGAGGAAGCCCCGGCUAACUCUGUGCCAGCAGCCGCGGUAAUACAGAGGGGGCAAGCGUUAUUCGGAAUUAUUGGGCGUAAAGGGCGCGUAGGCGGUUUUUUAAGUCAGAUGUGUAAUCCCCGAGCUUAACUUGGGAACUGCAUCUGAGACUGGAAGGCUAGAGUACUGGAGAGGGUGGUGGAAUUCCUCGUGUAGCGGUGAAAUGCGUAGAGAUGAGGAGGAACACCAGUGGCGAAGGCGGCCACCUGGACAGUAACUGACGCUGAGGCGCGAAAGUGUGGGUAGCAAACAGGAUUAGAUACCCUGGUAGUCCACGCUGUAAACGAUGAACACUUGGUGUGGAGGGAGUUGACCCCUUCCG
Molecule: ribosomal RNA, 796 nt
Filed under: uncultured Acidobacteriota bacterium
Lineage: Bacteria; Pseudomonadati; Acidobacteriota
Description: bacterial SSU rRNA
Rfam family: Bacterial small subunit ribosomal RNA
Source: RNAcentral